Molecule: transfer RNA, 85 nt
Filed under: Felis catus (domestic cat)
Lineage: Eukaryota; Metazoa; Chordata; Mammalia; Carnivora; Felidae
Also listed under: 1 other name
Rfam family: tRNA
About the family: Transfer RNA (tRNA) molecules are approximately 80 nucleotides in length. Their secondary structure includes four short double-helical elements and three loops (D, anti-codon, and T loops).
Source: Rfam by way of RNAcentral
GCCUGGGUGGCUCAGUCGGUUGAGCGUCCGACUUCGGCUCGGGUCAUGAUCUCACAGUCUGUGAGUUCGAGCCCCGUGUCGGGCU